This 82-nucleotide small nuclear RNA is filed under the name Octodon degus (degu). RNAcentral describes it as "U4 spliceosomal RNA (ENSODEG00000025797.1)". It matches the Rfam family "U4 spliceosomal RNA", at positions 1 to 82 of the family's 138-position model. Rfam says of the family: U4 small nuclear RNA (U4 snRNA) is a component of the major U2-dependent spliceosome. The structure of U4 snRNA from yeast and human has been reported. The record is from RNAcentral. Lineage: Eukaryota; Metazoa; Chordata; Mammalia; Rodentia; Octodontidae.
AGCUUUGCACAGUGGCAGUAUUGUAGCCAUGAGGUUUAUCCGAGGCGUAAUUAUUACUAAUUGAAAACUUUUCCCAAAAAUG